Molecule: long non-coding RNA, 2665 nt
Organism: Clupea harengus (Atlantic herring)
Lineage: Eukaryota; Metazoa; Chordata; Actinopteri; Clupeiformes; Clupeidae
Source: Ensembl
ACUGCCCGCCUUGCCCAAAGGAACACAUCGCCCCUGAUAAUCCGGCACUGCUACGCAGUAAAAUCAAUUGCGCAAUAUGAUAUAGGUUGCCAUAUUGACAAAUGGGUUGAAUAUGGUAUAGUGUAUUUAUUGUGUAAGACAUGAUUGCGUUUCAUACAGAAAUGACAUAACGGAAGGGGGCGGGAGAUGGGUCAGAGAGUACGGGAGAAACCCGGGAAAAACGGGAGAGUUGGCAGCCGUGAGUGUGACGACAAAGGAGAGGUCACUCCAGAGACUGUUCAGAAACCGAAACACCUCAACCAAAAACCUUUCACUUCCAGUCUCCAAACCUGUCACCUUUUUCCAUUCUGGCUGAGAGCGUUUAUAAGAAAAAUGGUAGACUGCUGAGAUAGUGGCCCUUUUGUGAGGUUGACCACAAAACUACAAUGAAUCACAUGAGGAGUAUUUCAUGAGGAGAUGAUUGUUGAUGAUUUUCAUGUGUCACAUCAUGUGACGAGUGGGAAAUCCUCCACCAUAAAAACACUGCUAAUUAUAAUACUACAGUGUCGAUUUGUUGCUGCUACAGACCCCAACUGUCCGUAUAUCCCAAUCAUUAAGGAGUGGGGUGUACCAGCCUGUUACACAGAACUACAUAAGGCAUAUCCUGGAUGGCUAGUGGGGAAGACACAGGCUAAUAGCAUCCCCAGAGAUUUUCGAUUAGAGAUUCCACUCGGCUGUGGUGAUAAGAUCAGCUGUGACGAUCUCCUACGGGCCCUUGUUAACAGCUACUGCAUGAACAGGAAUUGCAGUGAUGAUAAGCCCAAUACGUCUUGCAAUGAAACUAAUAAAAAAACAAAGACGUUGAUUUACUGCUUGAAUGAUAAUUAUUCUAUCUCCUGCCAGGAGCCCCUAGGGUUUCAAAACCCAAGGAUAUAUAUGUUAGUGAAUGAUACAGAUUUCACCCAUAACAUUCAAGGUUGUCUCAUGGACAAGGUGCCAGGUACAACAGCAUCCACCACCUGUACUAUGACCACCACCACCACGACAUCUCGUAGUGCACCAACAACAGUUACCCCCGGCAGUACACCCACCUCCUCCACCCCCACCACAUCUUCUAUCAUCACAGAUAGUACACAGUCCCCAACGCCUUCCCAUGCCUCUCACACCUCAGAACAAUUUAGUGCGACAUCUGGAUAUGGUAUGCUGGUCAUACUGUUGACAUCUCUGGGUUUAAACAUAACAUUGUCAUGGUUGUUACUGAAGCAGAGAAGCCGCCACCAACAGCAACCCAUAAACCUAAGUCUAGACUAUGUUGGAGCUCCUGGAGAAGCUGAAGCAGAGUCGUUAGCGGGUGAUUCCCUGCCCUAGAACUGGCUGCCUACUCCAGUGUUCUAGAGACAUCAGUAACAGUGUUCCAGAGACGGCAGAUGGAUUACAGAGGACGGGCCUGCUGUACUCCCAACACUGUCUCCAUGAGAGACUGCCAAUCCACCAGUCUGUGACUACAGAGACUGUUACUGUCAAACACCUGCAUCAGGACACCCUCAGACCGGUCUUUGGCUAUGGACUAGAGACCUCAACAGGAGAACCAACCUCAGUCACAACAUGAGCCCCACACCAUUCCACAGACAUUGACAGACCUGCAUGUGAAGCAUGUUCAGAUACUAUGGCACAUUAGGGCCCGUUUCACACUGCCUGCGUUGAGUGUGUGUGGUGGCUGCGUUACCUGUUGAUUUUCAUGUCAGUGCCCUUGCUAACAGGUUAGAACAUGCACAAUGCUUGACUGAGAUGUGCAGUCAUAUCGAGUCGAGUUUCAGUGUGGCGACUAUUUGUUACACGUGAGAUAAGAUAAUCUCAGUAAAAAAGACAUGUUGACAUUAUACCACCAACCAACAUUAUAACUGGCGUCUUUCAUUGCAGUUUCGAGGUAUGGGCUAUAUCGCACAGACAUGACAGAAAUAUAAAUGUCCCUCUCUCACUUAUCAUGCUUAUAAUAUAAUAUAAUAUAAGAGUAUAAUAUUCUCUAAUUAAUCAUGUCUGAAUUGUGUCUUGUUUCUUUCUGACUAACUAUUGAGUUUGACAUAGUUCAUGUUUACAAAUGAUAUGUUGCGGAGAAACUAGCAACGAUCCACAAACAGGCGUCGAGAGGCUGAAUGUGAAGUUUAUUUGUGUUAUCUAAACUUUUACGCAAUCAGAACUUGUUGUGUGUUUGGUAGCACUCCCAACUCCUGGGGGGUAUUCGUCGUAGCUCGCUAAGCGGUUUAGCGAGCUAAUUUUCAGGCUAAGAUAAAAAAAACGCCCCUCUUUUUGGUUCGUGGAAGCAACUUUUGAUAAAUCACCAUAGUUACAUAUCGAUUAGCACUAACCUGCUCCAGGGCAGGCUAACUUAAGUGUAGCUGGAUAAGUUUGCCACACCCCCGGAAAAAGGAGGGAUCCCAUUGACCAAGGACUGAUAUUAGAGUUAGAUUAGCGGAGGGAGAGAGUUCUUUGCGAUCGCCAAGAUCCAUUAUUCUUGUAUGAGCGCUACCGAUUCAGCCGACAAGGAAUCAUUAAUUUACAAGACCUUCUCGAGUCAUUUAUUGCAAACACCACAGUCGAACAUUGACUGUCUUUAGUACACCAUAGCAUAUCAUUAUUGUAGAAAAUGAUUAAGGUGGACUCAUGAUAAGAAUAGAGAGAAAUACAG